UGGUUCUGGCAUCGAUGAAGAACGCAGCGAAAUGCGAUAAGUAAUGCGAAUUGCAGAAUUCAGUGAGUCAUCGAAUCUUUGAACGCACAUUGCGCCCUUUGGUAUUCCGAAGGGCAUGCCUGUUCGAGCGUCAUUAUCAACCCUCAAGCUCUGGCUUGCUGUUGGGUACGUGGAGUGGCCACCACUCCACACCCGAAAGACAAUGACGGCGUUCGAUGGAAGCCUGGUACAAUGAGUCUUUACAGGCACGUACUGUGGUCGACCGUCGAACCCGGUCUCAACCCCAUUUUUCUUAAGGUUGACCUCGGAUCAGGUAGGAAUACCCGCUGA
This 330-nucleotide unclassified non-coding RNA is filed under the name uncultured fungus. RNAcentral's name for it is "partial contains 5.8S ribosomal RNA and internal transcribed spacer 2". The stretch from base 1 to 133 matches the Rfam family "5.8S ribosomal RNA", at positions 22 to 154 of the family's 154-position model. Lineage: Eukaryota; Fungi. The record is from RNAcentral.